This 665-nucleotide long non-coding RNA is filed under the name Coturnix japonica (Japanese quail). RNAcentral describes it as "lncRNA (ENSCJPG00005009568.1)". Lineage: Eukaryota; Metazoa; Chordata; Aves; Galliformes; Phasianidae. The record is from RNAcentral.
GGAAGUUGUUCAUGCUAAAUACUGUGCAGCAUCUUUAAAAGCUGCUGUGGCUGAGUGACUUCAAGGCCACAGUCCACUAAACUGGCAGCCACAGUCAGUUUUUUGCUUCUGCUCUUGGCACAUCUCAUACACAGCAUCAGUUAUUGAAUUUGCUUUUGUUUUUUCUUUCUUUUUCUUUUUUUUCUAGUUCUCCAGAUAUUGGUGCAUUGUUGUCCUGGAGGAUGCUCAAAGAGCAAGAUGUUUUUCUCACUUCAGCCAUGUGACACCAUGAAUAUGCAUUGGUGCACUCAAGCAUUUUCUGUUCUAUGAGAUCACUAAUCUGGUCACAGUGUACGCACUGAUUACAUGCUGCUAUAUGGGAGAGCAGUCUACUCUCUUCCCCUCUUGCUGCAGGUCAAGCUGCUUAUUAAAUGAGAGAACAUGUAUUUGAUGCGGUGUUGCUGCAGUCUAUAGAACUAUCCAAAGGCUUCUCUACCAAUGCUGCAGCUCUCAGGAGAUAUCCAUAGGAACACAGCAUUUUCUCUUUUGAUGCUGUUUUCAAGAAGGCAAGACAGACUCCUUGGCAAAAAAAAGUUUGCAAAGGUAGGAUUAGAUAAUGCCAUACUUCAUCAGAGUAAAUAGUUUCUUUCUCAUUUCAUAAUGUUAAUUUAUAAACAGGAUUUCAG